This 305-nucleotide ribosomal RNA is filed under the name uncultured bacterium. RNAcentral describes it as "bacterial SSU rRNA". It matches the Rfam family "Bacterial small subunit ribosomal RNA", at positions 334 to 656 of the family's 1533-position model. The record is from RNAcentral.
UAAGCCUACGGGACGCAGCAGUCGGGAAUAUUGCGCAAUGGAGGAAACUCUGACGCAGUGACGCCGCGUAUAGGAAGAAGGUUUUCGGAUUGUAAACUAUUGUCGUUAGGGAAGAUAAAAGACUGUACCUAAGGAGGAAGCCCCGGCUAACUAUGUGCCAGCAGCCGCGGUAAUACAUAGGGGGCAAGCGUUAUCCGGAUUUAUUGGGUUUAAAGGGUGCGUAGGCGGGCUGUUAAGUCAGCGGUAAAAGCCCGGGGCUCAACCCCGGCGAGCCGUUGAAACUGGCUGUCUUGAGAUGUCGAGAG